RNAcentral lists this ribosomal RNA (460 nucleotides) under uncultured bacterium. RNAcentral's name for it is "partial 16S ribosomal RNA". It matches the Rfam family "Bacterial small subunit ribosomal RNA", at positions 338 to 795 of the family's 1533-position model. The record is from RNAcentral.
CCUACGGGCGGCAGCAGUGAGGAAUAUUGGUCAAUGGACGAGAGUCUGAACCAGCCAAGUAGCGUGAAGGAUGACUGCCCUAUGGGUUGUAAACUUCUUUUAUAAAGGAAUAAAACGAGGCACGUGUGCCUUUUUGCAUGUACUUUAUGAAUAAGGAUCGGCUAACUCCGUGCCAGCAGCCGCGGUAAUACGGAGGAUCCGAGCGUUAUCCGGAUUUAUUGGGUUUAAAGGGAGCGUAGAUGGGUUGUUAAGUCAGUUGUGAAAGUUUGCGGCUCAACCGUAAAAUUGCAAUUGAUACUGGCAUUCUUGAGUACAGUUGAGGUAGGCGGAAUUCGUGUUGUAGCGGUGAAAUGCUUAGAUAUCACGAAGAACCCCGAUUGCGAAGGCAGCUUACUAAACUGUGACUGACAUUGAUGCUCGAAAGUGUGGGUAUCAAACAGGAUUAGCUACCCGGGUAGUC